This is a long non-coding RNA of Dermochelys coriacea (leatherback sea turtle), 159 nucleotides long. RefSeq lists it as uncharacterized. The record is from RefSeq and is a predicted model, not a curated record. The transcript is spliced from 3 exons. Lineage: Eukaryota; Metazoa; Chordata; Testudines; Dermochelyidae.
GGUAGGUUUGCAGAGGAAAAACAAAGUAGGUAUCAGCUCAGUAUCAAGUCAUAUGUGAACUUUUACAAAACUCCAAGGGCAAGAUUUUUUGUUUUUUAAAACACCAGCAUUCCAAUAGACAGGUUUCAGAGUAGCAGCCGUGUUAGUCUGUAUUCGCAA